This 61-nucleotide transfer RNA is filed under the name Erinaceus europaeus (western European hedgehog). It matches the Rfam family "tRNA", at positions 7 to 64 of the family's 71-position model. Rfam says of the family: Transfer RNA (tRNA) molecules are approximately 80 nucleotides in length. Their secondary structure includes four short double-helical elements and three loops (D, anti-codon, and T loops). The record is from Rfam by way of RNAcentral. Lineage: Eukaryota; Metazoa; Chordata; Mammalia; Eulipotyphla; Erinaceidae.
GUGGCUAAAUGGGUAAAGCCCACACCUUCCAUGUGUGAAGCUCUGGGUUCAAUUCCUAUGC